Perognathus longimembris pacificus (Pacific pocket mouse) is the source of this 1451-nucleotide long non-coding RNA. RefSeq lists it as uncharacterized. The record is from RefSeq and is a predicted model, not a curated record. The transcript is spliced from 4 exons. Lineage: Eukaryota; Metazoa; Chordata; Mammalia; Rodentia; Heteromyidae.
CAAUAAAGCAAAAAUCACAAGUGCCAGCCUUGCGCAAAAAAGCCAAGAAUCACGGGGCCCCAGGACUGGAACCCAAAAAACAGGAAGGAAAAGCAGAUCGCUGUAAUUGGUUGAGGAAGAACAUUGGGUUUAGUUUUUCUUUAUCAUGCCACAAUUGAAGUUAAUGCCACAUUUUUAAACAACUUGAGUUCUUUCUUUUCUUUUUUAAGUGGAUUUCAUUCAGAGUUUUAACAUGCCUAUUUUGAAGAGCAUUCCAUGAGUCUUACACCUGAAAGUGCAAAGCAGAUUGAAUAUUUUAAACAAAAAAUAGAGACCAAAAAAGAGAAGUAGGAGAUCUCCCCAGCACUUGAUGUGAGUCAGCCAACUCAAGCACGAAAUCCUCAAUUGUGUGCUUUUCCUUUCCUGACAGAGAGAACACAUUAGGAUAUACAAAGUCCAGGUUUCCUUUACAACAAAUCCUACCAGGAAACUUCCAUGUGAGACUCUUACACAGAGCACAUUGAGUAACAAACUCCAACUGUAGUUUUGCUAAAGGGCUUUCUUUUAUUUAACUUUUAAACAGCCCACUGGGCCCCAAGCCAAGUCCUGACUGAGGAAACCUCCCACCUUGCACCCUGAUUGUACUGUGGGUGAAGAGCUGUGGUUAAGGACAUGCCCCUGAGGGCUCUGCCUUUAUUUUCUUAGAAAGCUUCACCUUGAUGCUAUAUUUGGGCUCUUUGGCUAAUUGAGGCAGUUCAUUCAAAGUUACACUUUCUGGCAUGAGGCAGUUGUGGGUGCUGACAUGAGUUGUCUCAACAUGAUACCAAUUUCCACAGUCAAUUUGGUCAAUUCAGUGGAAGGGAAGAAAAAAAAAAUAAAACAGCCUGAAAAUCAGUCAGAACAGUUACUGGAGGUUAUUGUAGCAGCUAUGGUUGGUUGACUGAAUUUUUCAUGUUUGAACCAGUUUUCAUAUUUUGUAGGCACAGUCUUGGCCAUUUGGGGAAAUAAGCUUAAAUAUACAAAAGUGACACUUUAAAAUCAAUUUCUUCAUGUAUGAUCAUGGUUACUGAUGCCUUGUAGUACAUACCAUUUUAAGAAGAAAUAGCUAUUUACUGUUUACAUGUAUUAUUGAAUACAUAUGCUGCAUAUUUGUUAUAUGUACACAGAAUAGGAAAGUGACCAAAGUAUCUAAAAAGAUCUGCAGAACUAUGUAUUAUCAAUUAGUUUGUUAGUAGUGUUAAGUGAUACAUUAGCCUGUAUUUUGAGACCCUUUUAAAUCUUUAUAAGGAAUUUACAUGUUGUAAAAUUCACCUAUCUGAUUCAGUGAUUUUAAGCAAUUUUAGAGUAGUGCAGGCAUCACUACUAGUUCCAGAUCUAGUUCCACGUCUAGUUCCAAAACAUUCUUACUGCCCUACAAGAGCCCUUGUACCCAUUGGCAAUCAGUUCAGUCUAUCCAUAGUCCCUAUUCCCAG